AUGAAAUCCUUUGAACGACUGGUGUUAGCCCAUCUGAAGGACAUUACAGGCCACCAGCUGGACCCCCUGCAGUUUGCCUACCGGGCAAACAGGCCGGUGGAUGAUGCAGUGAAUAUGGGGCUGCAUUACAUCCUGCAACACCUCGACCGCCCGGGAACUUAUGCCAGGGUCCUGUUUGUGGACUUUAGUUCGGCUUUUAACACCAUCGUGCCUGAACUUCUCUCCUCCAAACUCUCCCAGCUCAGCGUGUCUCCAGCUACCUGUCAGUGGAUCACCAGCUUCCUGACAGACAGAAAGCAACAAGUGAGGCUGGGGGAGAUCACCUCUGAAACUCGGUCCCUCAGUAUUGGUGCCCCUCAAGGAUGUGUCCUCUCACCACUACUGUUCUCCCUCUACACUAAUGACUGCACCUCCACGAACUCAGCUGUUAAACUCCUAAAGUUUGCAGAUGACACCACCGUCAUUGGCCUCAUUCAGGAUGGUGAUGAGUCUGCAUACCGGCAGGAAGUUGAGCGGCUGGUACUCUGGUGCAGUCAGCACAAUCUGGAGCUGAACACUCUUAAAACUGUAGAGAUGACAGUGGACUUCAGGAGACAUCCCUCAACUCUCCCCCCCCCCCUCAUCAUAUCAGACAGCCCUGAGUCCACUGUGGAGAUUUUCAAGUUCCUGGGUACCACCAUCUCCCAGGACCUGAAGUGGGAGACCAACAUCAACGCCAUCCUCAGAAAGACCCAGCAGAGGAUGUACUUCCUGAGACAACUGGGGAAGUACAGUCUUCCACAGGAGCUGCUGAUCCAGUUCUACACUGCAGUCAUUGAGUCUGUCCUGUGCUCCUCCAUCACAGUCUGGUAUGGUGCAGCCACCAAACAGGACAGGUGCAGACUGCAGCGGACUGUACGGGCAGCAGAAAGGAUCAUUGGCGCCCCCCCUGCCCUCCAUCCAGGAUCUGUACCUCUCAAGAACCAGGAAACGGGCAGGAAUCAUCACAGACCCCUCACACCCUGGACACAGACUUUUUGA
Molecule: long non-coding RNA, 1020 nt
Filed under: Oreochromis niloticus (Nile tilapia)
Lineage: Eukaryota; Metazoa; Chordata; Actinopteri; Cichliformes; Cichlidae
Description: lncRNA (ENSONIG00000039198.1)
Source: RNAcentral